This 28-nucleotide small RNA is filed under the name Bombyx mori (domestic silkworm). Its description in RNAcentral is "ovarian small RNA-14586". Lineage: Eukaryota; Metazoa; Arthropoda; Insecta; Lepidoptera; Bombycidae. The record is from RNAcentral.
CGUGUCGCUGGCGGCCGCCGGUCCGGUA